Molecule: ribosomal RNA, 292 nt
Filed under: uncultured bacterium
Lineage: Bacteria
Also listed under: 1 other name
Description: partial 16S ribosomal RNA
Source: RNAcentral
GGACUACCGGGGUAUCUAAUCCUGUUUGCUCCCCACGCUCUCGCGCCUCAGCGUCAGUAUCUGUCCAGGUAGCCGCCUUCGCCACUGGUGUUCCUUCCGAUCUCUACGCAUUUCACCGCUACACCGGAAAUUCCACUACCCUCUACAGUACUCCAGCUAGCCAGUCACAGCUGCAGUUCCUAGGUUAAGCCCAGGGAUUUCACAGCUAUCUUAACUAACCGCCUACGCGCCCUUUACGCCCAGUAACUCCGAUUAACGCUCGCACCCUCUGUAUUACCGCGGCGGCUGGCAC